Small nuclear RNA from Perognathus longimembris pacificus (Pacific pocket mouse), 110 nucleotides. The record is from RefSeq and is a predicted model, not a curated record. Lineage: Eukaryota; Metazoa; Chordata; Mammalia; Rodentia; Heteromyidae.
GCGGUACAUACACUAAAACACACAUUACAACACUGGAACAAUACAUAGAAGAUUAGCAUGGCCUUCUGGCAAGGAUGACACACGAUUCCUGACAUAUUUCAUAUGAUUUA